RNAcentral lists this ribosomal RNA (196 nucleotides) under Natribacillus halophilus. RNAcentral describes it as "16S rRNA. Bacterial SSU". It matches the Rfam family "Bacterial small subunit ribosomal RNA", at positions 1 to 114 of the family's 1533-position model. Lineage: Bacteria; Bacillati; Bacillota; Bacilli; Caryophanales; Bacillaceae. The record is from RNAcentral.
CUUUUAUGGAGAGUUUGAUCCUGGCUCAGGACGAACGCUGGCGGCGUGCCUAAUACAUGCAAGUCGAACGGUCUAGAGGUGAGAGUUGAGAGGUGAGAAGUGAGCUGUCGUAGACAUCGGCAGAGCCGAUGUCACCUAAAUCCCACUUCCCAUUUCCCACCUCUCACUUCUAGACAGUGGCGGCCGGGUGAGUAAC